AUGGUCAAACUCGGUAAGCUGCUUACUCUUGACCUUGGAUGGAACAAUUUCGGUGGCAACAUCCCGGAGUCCAUAGGUCAGCUCGGGAGGCUGGAGGAGCUCCAUUUGGAUAGCAAUAAUAUGUCUGGGGAGUUGCCAUCAACUCUGGGCAACUGCACAAAUCUGAAAACCAUUGAUCUGAAGAUCAACAACUUCAGUGGAGAUCUAAGCAAGGUAAACUUCGCCACCCUACAGAAUCUAAAAAGUUUAGAUCUCAUGAGUAAUAAUCUCAGUGGCAUGCUUCCAGAAAGUAUUUACUCAUGCAGCAAUUUGACUGCACUGCGGUUGUCAUACAACAAUUUGCAUGGUGAGAUCUCCCUGAGAAUAGGCAAUCUGAAGCACUUGUCCUUCUUAUCACUUGUUAGAAAUUCCUUCACGAACAUCACAAAAACUUUGCAUGGCCUUAAGAGCUGUAAGAACAUCAGCAUCCUACUUAUUGGAAAAAACUUCAUGAAUGAGGCCAUGCCACAAGAUGAAACCAUUGACGGUUUCCAGAAUCUUCAACAUCUCGCCAUACACCAUUGUUCGUUGACUGGAAGGAUACCUAUGUGGUUAUCAAAGCUCACAAAUCUGAAGAUGCUAGACUUAUACAGCAAUCGACUCACUGGACCAAUGCCAAGCUGGAUCAACUCCCUAAACCACCUCUUUCGUCUGAAUGUAUCUAACAACAGUCUUACUGGGGAAAUCCCAAUCACCUUGAUGCAGAUGCCAAUGUUGAAAUCAGAUAAGCCCGGCAUCUAUUCGGACCCAAGCCUCCUUGACCUUGAUCUAGUUAUUUAUGUUGCGGAUUCAUCAACACUUCAAUACCGCAUAGACAGUGCUUGGGCCAAAGUGCUGAAUCUCAGCAACAAUAAAUUCACAGGUAUGAUCCCACAAGAGACUGGUCAGCUGAAAGCACUCCUUUUUCUGGACUUGAGUUCCAACAACUUUUAUGGAGAGAUCCCGCAAUCAAUCUGCGACCUCACGAACCUCCAGGAACUAGAUCUGUCUAAUAACCAUCUGACGGGUGAAAUUCCUGCAGCAUUGGAGAUUCUUCACUUCCUUUCGCAGUUCAACAUUUCCAACAACGACCUAGAAGGAUCUAUUCCAACAGCAGGCCAGCUGAGCACAUUUCAAAUUCUAGUUUUGAUGGGAACCCAAAGCUGUGCCAUUCUCUGCUCAGUUCGGUUGAAGGAACUCCUGUGUACAUCAUCUCUGCAAAAGAAUGCAGCAUUAAAGUCAUCUUUGCAAUUGCCUUUGGUCUUUUCUUUGGGGUAG
This 1296-nucleotide ribosomal RNA is filed under the name Triticum aestivum (bread wheat). RNAcentral's name for it is "partial small subunit ribosomal RNA". Lineage: Eukaryota; Viridiplantae; Streptophyta; Magnoliopsida; Poales; Poaceae. The record is from RNAcentral.